AUGGGCUCCAGGCUCCUCUGCUGGGCGACCUUCUGUCUCCUGGGGACAGGACCUGUGGAGGCCGGGAUCACCCAGGAACCAAGAUACAAGAUCACGGUGACAGGAGAGACAGUGACUUUGGAAUGUCACCAGACUGAUAACCAUGACUAUAUGUACUGGUACCGACAAGACCUGGGACAUGGUCUGAGGCUGAUCCAUUACUCCUAUGGUGUUGGCAACAUUGAGAAAGGAGAAAUCCCUGACGGGUACAACGUCUCGAGAUCAAAUACAGAGGAUUUCCCCCUGACCCUGGCGUCUGUUAUCCCCUCCCGGACAUCUGUGUACUUCUGUGCCAGCAGUGACUCCACAGGAUUAGAAGCGUUCUGUGGUGAAAACUCAAGAAUCUCAAACUGA
Molecule: non-coding RNA, 393 nt
Organism: Balaenoptera acutorostrata (minke whale)
Lineage: Eukaryota; Metazoa; Chordata; Mammalia; Artiodactyla; Balaenopteridae
Source: the annotation of a RefSeq genome assembly